RNAcentral lists this ribosomal RNA (366 nucleotides) under Halticorcus sp. BMNH 846646. RNAcentral's name for it is "partial 16S ribosomal RNA". Lineage: Eukaryota; Metazoa; Arthropoda; Insecta; Coleoptera; Chrysomelidae. The record is from RNAcentral.
UUGAAUGGCCGCGGUAUUUUGACCGUGCUAAGGUAGCAUAAUCAUUAGUUUUUUAAUUGAAAGCUGGAAUGAAGGGUUGGAUGAAAAAAAAUCUGUCUCUAUUAAAUUAAAAUAGAAUUUUAUUUUUAAGUUCAAAAGCUUAAAUUAUUUUAAAAGACGAGAAGACCCUUUAGAGUUUUAUAAUUUUAAUUUUGUUUUUAUUUGGUAUUAAUUUAAAAAUAAAAAUGAAAUUAUUUAGUUGGGGUGAUUUAAAAAUUUAAUAAACUUUUUUUUAUUUAAAUAUAAAUUUAUAGAUAAUUGAUCCAAUAUUUUUGAUUAUAAGAUAAAAUUACCUUAGGGAUAACAGCGUAAUUUUAUUAGAGAGUU